UACAGAGGGUGCGAGCGUUGUUCGGAAUUAUUGGGCGUAAAGCGCUUGUAGGCGGCCCUUCGAGUCUCGUGUGAAAUCCCUUGGCUCAACCAAGGAAGUGCACGAGAUACUAGAGGGCUGGAGUGCCGGAGAGGGUCGCGGAAUUCCCGGUGUAGAGGUGAAAUUCGUAGAUAUCGGGAGGAACACCAGUGGCGAAGGCGGCGACCUGGACGGACACUGACGCUGAGACGCGAAAGCGUGGGGAG
This 245-nucleotide ribosomal RNA is filed under the name uncultured bacterium. RNAcentral's name for it is "partial 16S ribosomal RNA". It matches the Rfam family "Bacterial small subunit ribosomal RNA", at positions 524 to 768 of the family's 1533-position model. The record is from RNAcentral.